This 504-nucleotide ribosomal RNA is filed under the name Boophis madagascariensis (Madagascar bright-eyed frog). RNAcentral's name for it is "partial 16S ribosomal RNA". It matches the Rfam family "Bacterial large subunit ribosomal RNA", at positions 1928 to 2598 of the family's 2925-position model. The record is from RNAcentral. Lineage: Eukaryota; Metazoa; Chordata; Amphibia; Anura; Mantellidae.
CGGCCGCGGUACCCUAACCGUGCGAAGGUAGCAUAAUCACUUGUUCUUUAAAUGAGGACUCGUAUCAACGGCAUCACGAGGAUCCUACUGUCUCCCCCCUCUAAUCGGUGAAACUGAUCUCUCCGUGAAGAAGCGGAGAUGUACAUAUAAGACGAGAAGACCCCAUGGAGCUUUAAACCCAACAACACCCGCCCCCCUCCAAAUCCUAUUAUUUACCCGGUGAUUGUUUGUUUGGUUUUAGGUUGGGGUGACCGCGGAGUAUAAGAUAUCCUCCAUGAAAAAAAGCUAACUGCCCUUAUUAGAGAAAGACACUUCCAAAAAAUAAUAAAUUAAUUUUAAAUGAUCCGACAUUCGAUCAACGAACCAAGUUACCCUGGGGAUAACAGCGCAAUCCGCCCCGAGAGCCCCUAUCGACAGGCGGGUUUACGACCUCGAUGUUGGAUCAGGGUAUCCCAGUGGUGCAGCAGCUACUAAAGGUUCGUUUGUUCAACGAUUAAAACCCUA